GACGAACGCUGGCGGCGUGCAUAACACAUUCAAGUCGAACGGAGUUAGGUGCUUCGGUACUUAACUUAGUGGCGGACGGGUGAGUAACGCGUGAGCAAUCUACCUUCCAGUGAGGGAUAACAACCGGAAACAGUUGCUAAUACCUCAUGAAAUGGCAGCUCUGCAUGGGGCAACCAUCAAAGAUUUAUUGCUGGGAGAUGAGCUUGCGUCCGAUUAGAUAGUUGGUGAGGUAACGGCUCACCAAGUCGACGAUCGGUAGCCGGACUGAGAGGUUGAACGGCCACAUUGGAACUGAGAUACGGUCCAGACUCCUACGGGAGGCAGCAGUGGGGAAUAUUGGGCAAUGGGCGAAAGCCUGACCCAGCGACGCCGCGUGAGGGAAGAAGAUCUUCGGAUUGUAAACCUUAGUCAACAGGAAGAAGAAAGUGACGGUACCUGUGGAGGAAGCCACGGCUAACUACGUG
Molecule: ribosomal RNA, 464 nt
Filed under: uncultured bacterium
Lineage: Bacteria
Description: bacterial SSU rRNA
Rfam family: Bacterial small subunit ribosomal RNA
Source: RNAcentral